Molecule: ribosomal RNA, 936 nt
Filed under: Yersinia enterocolitica
Lineage: Bacteria; Pseudomonadati; Pseudomonadota; Gammaproteobacteria; Enterobacterales; Yersiniaceae
Description: partial 23S ribosomal RNA
Rfam family: Bacterial large subunit ribosomal RNA
Source: RNAcentral
AAACCCGGUGAUCUAGCCAUGGGCAGGUUGAAGGUUGGGUAACACUAACUGGAGGACCGAACCGACUAAUGUUGAAAAAUUAGCGGAUGACUUGUGGCUGGGGGUGAAAGGCCAAUCAAACCGGGAGAUAGCUGGUUCUCCCCGAAAGCUAUUUAGGUAGCGCCUCGUGAACUCAUCUUCGGGGGUAGAGCACUGUUUCGGCUAGGGGGUCAUCCCGACUUACCAAACCGAUGCAAACUCCGAAUACCGAAGAAUGUUAUCACGGGAGACACACGGCGGGUGCUAACGUCCGUCGUGAAGAGGGAAACAACCCAGACCGCCAGCUAAGGUCCCAAAGUCAUGGUUAAGUGGGAAACGAUGUGGGAAGGCACAGACAGCCAGGAUGUUGGCUUAGAAGCAGCCAUCAUUUAAAGAAAGCGUAAUAGCUCACUGGUCGAGUCGGCCUGCGCGGAAGAUGUAACGGGGCUAAACCAUGCACCGAAGCUGCGGCAGCGAACGUAUCACUUAAAACGCUUAACGUGACGGCAAAGCCGACAUGUUCAAGCCACACUAAACGUUGAGUUGGCCGGUGUGCUGACAAACGAACAGGCGUUUUAAGGAUACGUUCGUUGGGUAGGGGAGCGUUCUGUAAGCCGUUGAAGGUGACCUGUGAGGGUUGCUGGAGGUAUCAGAAGUGCGAAUGCUGACAUAAGUAACGAUAAUGCGGGUGAAAAACCCGCACGCCGGAAGACCAAGGGUUCCUGUCCAACGUUAAUCGGGGCAGGGUGAGUCGACCCCUAAGGCGAGGCUGAAAAGCGUAGUCGAUGGGAAACAGGUUAAUAUUCCUGUACUUGGUGUUACUGCGAAGGGGGGACGGAGAAGGCUAGGCUAGCCGGGCGACGGUUGUCCCGGUUUAAGCAUGUAGGCGGAGUGACCAGGUAAAUCCGGUUGCUUAUC